Molecule: ribosomal RNA, 253 nt
Filed under: uncultured bacterium
Lineage: Bacteria
Description: partial 16S ribosomal RNA
Rfam family: Bacterial small subunit ribosomal RNA
Source: RNAcentral
AACGGAGGGGGCAAGUGUUACUCGUAAUAAUUGGGCGUAAAGGGUGCGUAGGUGGUUUUUUAAGUUAAAAGUUAAAUAAUAGUGUAAAACACUAAAACUGCUUUUAAUACUGAAAAUCUAGAGUUCGAAAGAGGAAAAUGGUAUUUUUAUUGUAGAGGUGAAAUUCUGAGAUAAUAAAAAGACGAUCGAAGGCGAAGGCAAUUUUCUGGGUCGUAACUGACACUGAGGCACGAAAGCAUGGGGAGCAAACAGG